GGAUAUUUUCCUGACCCCUUCAUGAGACUUGUGACAGGGGUUCCUUGUUUACUCAGCCCUGCAGCUCUCAACGCCUUGCAGGAGGUAGCAUAGAAGCGAACAAGGCGGGAACUGGAGUGCCCAAGUGUUGGAACAAGCUGGCUGCUUCGGUGCUGGCAGGGGCAAACUCCAAUCACUGGGACCCGCUACAUUCCACCCCUCACGGAAGGGAGCACGCAGAACAAUUUAGAAAUUGAUCUGCAACUGAUGGAAGCUGGGAUGAAUUGGGCGCAUAAGUGAACCCAAAGCAUCAGAGCAAAGUCAAAGCGAACAUCUGGCUCCAGCUUUGAGUACAAGGAGAGAUUUGUGUAUGAUUGAGAGCAAGGAAAAAAGGCUUUGAAGGGGAAUUCAAAUAUUGAAGACACAAGAGAAAAAAUAAAUAAUAAAAUACUGUGAUCUCUUUGAAAUUGAGAAUGAAGUGAAAUGAAAGAAAUAUAAAAAGCUAGUUUGGCCCUGUAGGAAAGAUGAUCUGUUCUUCCUCUGACACAGAAAGGAAGGAAGAAAGAACAUGCUGGAAGCAGAGCAAAGAAGAGAGACUUGUGUUUCCAUGGAAUAAUCUUGGGAUCCAUGUGGAGUGCAAGAGAUUGGAACAGAAGGAGUUCUCAAAAAAUAAAAACUUCGGGCGGGUGCGGUGGCUCACGCCUGUAAUCCCAGGACUUUGGGAGGCCGAGGUGGGCGGAUCACGAGGU
RNAcentral lists this long non-coding RNA (728 nucleotides) under Homo sapiens (human). RNAcentral describes it as "HSALNT0047667". The record is from RNAcentral. Lineage: Eukaryota; Metazoa; Chordata; Mammalia; Primates; Hominidae.